UCCCGUAUGAGUAAUGUUAAACAAAAUUCUUGAGUAGGGCGGGACACGAGAAAUCCUGUUUGAAUAUAGGGGGACCACCCUCUAAGCCUAAAUACUCUUCAGUGACCGAUAGUGAACUAGUACCGUGAGGGAAAGGUGAAAAGAACCCCUAUUAGGGGAGUGAAAUAGAACCUGAAACCGCAUGCCUACAAUCAGUCGAAGCUCUUUUUAGAGUGACGGCGUACCUUUUGUAUAAUGGGUCAGUGACUUAAUUUAUUAAGCAAGCUUAAGCCAUCUAGGUGUAGGCGCAGCGAAAGCAAGUCUUAAUAGGGCGAUUAGUUUAAUGAAUUAGACCCGAAAACGAAUGAGCUUACCAUGAGCAGGUUGAAAGCAAGGUAACACUUGCCGGAGGACCGAACCAGUUGACGUUGAAAAGUCUUUGGAUGACUUGUGGUAAGGGGUGAAAGGCCAACCAAAUUCGUAGAUAGCUGGUUUUCCGCGAAAACUAUUUAGGUAGUGCGUUGAAUAAAUAGAUGUUUAGAGGUAGAGCACUAAAUGGGCUAGGGGGAAGAGAUUCUUACCAAACCUAAUAAAACUCCCCGGAAUGCUAGACAUGUCUCAACAGACAGACUGUGGGUGCUAAGGUCCAUGGUCGAGAGGGAAAGAGCCCAGACCACCAGAUAAGGUCCCAAAAUUAUGAUUAAGUGUGAAAGGAUGUGGAAAUUCCUUAACAGCCGGGAGGUUGGCUUAGAAGCAGCCAUCCUUUAAAGAUAGCGUAACAGCUCACCGGUCUAAUAGAGUUUCUGCGCCGAAGAUGUAACGGGGCUAAAAUCAUAUACCGAAUCUGUGGGUUUAUAAAACUUUCGAGUUUUAUAAGCGGUAGCGGAACGUUCUGUAAGCCUGUGAAGGAGUACCCGUGAGGGACUCUGGAGGUAUCAGAAGUGCGAAUGCUGACAUAAGUAACGAUAAAAGAAGUGAAAAACUUCUUCGCCGAAAAUCCAAGGGUUUCUGCGCAAGGUUAAUCCGCGCAGAGUUAGUCGGCACCUAAGGCGAGGGCGAAAGCCGUAGUCGAUGGAAAUAAGGUUAAUAUUCCUUAACCAGAUGGUAGUGACGGAUCUUGUAAGUUGUGAGUUCUUAAUGGAUUGAACUUGCCGCGAAAAGGUUCCAAGAAAUAGCUCCAUCAUUAGACCGUACCCUAAACCGACACAGGUGGAUUAAUAGAGUAUAUUUAGGCGCUUGAGAGAAUGAUGUUGAAGGAACUCGGCAAAAUGCUUCCGUAACUUCGGGAUAAGGAAGACCCUCCUGUAGGCAACUAUGGAAGGGUGGCACAAGCCAGGGAGAAGCGACUGUUUAUCAAAAACACAGGGCUCUGCUAACACGUAAGUGGAUGUAUAGGGUCUGACGCCUGCCCGGUGCUGGAAGGUUAAUGCGGUUGGUGCAAGCUAACUUCUGAAGCCCCAGUAAACGGCGGCCGUAACUAUAACGGUCCUAAGGUAGCGAAAUUCCUUGUCGGGUAAGUUCCGACCUGCAUGAAUGGCGUAACGAUUUCUCCGCUGUCUCCAACAUCAACUCAGUGAAAUUGAAUUCUCCGUGAAGAUGCGGAGUUCGCGUAGUUAGACGGAAAGACCCCGUGCACCU
Molecule: ribosomal RNA, 1617 nt
Filed under: marine metagenome
Description: bacterial LSU rRNA
Rfam family: Bacterial large subunit ribosomal RNA
Source: RNAcentral